UACGGAGGAUCCGAGCGUUAUCCGGAUUUAUUGGGUUUAAAGGGUGCGUAGGCGGGAGAUUAAGUCGGUGGUGAAAUUUUGCAGCUCAACUGUAAAAGUGCCAUUGAUACUGGUUUCCUUGAGUGUGGAUGAAGUAGGCGGAAUUUGUGGUGUAGCGGUGAAAUGCAUAGAUAUCACGAGGAACUCCGAUUGCGCAGGCAGCUUACUAAACCAUAACUGACGCUCAGGCACGAAGGCGUGGGGAUCAAACAGGAUUAGAUACCCUU
Molecule: ribosomal RNA, 266 nt
Filed under: uncultured prokaryote
Description: partial 16S ribosomal RNA
Rfam family: Bacterial small subunit ribosomal RNA
Source: RNAcentral